RNAcentral lists this ribosomal RNA (253 nucleotides) under uncultured bacterium. Its description in RNAcentral is "partial 16S ribosomal RNA". It matches the Rfam family "Bacterial small subunit ribosomal RNA", at positions 524 to 776 of the family's 1533-position model. The record is from RNAcentral.
UACGUAGGGGGCAAGCGUUGUCCGGAAUCAUUGGGCGUAAAGCGCGUGUAGGCGGCUCGGUAAGUCCGCUCUGAAAGUCCAGGGCUCAACCCUGUGAUGCGGGUGGAUACUGCCGGGCUCGAGUCCGGAAGAGGCGAGUGGAAUUCCCGGUGUAGCGGUGAAAUGCGCAGAUAUCGGGAGGAACACCAAUGGCGAAGGCAGCUCGCUGGGACGUGACUGACGCUGAGGCGCGAAAGCGUGGGGAGCAAACAGG